CGGCCGCAGUACCCUGACUGUGCAAAGGUAGCAUAAUCAUUUGGCUUUUAAUUGGGGUCUGGAAUGAAUGGAUUUACGUAGAGACUCUGUCCCAGUCAAAAUUUUUAGAAAUUCUUUAAAAGGUGAAAAUCCCUUUAUUCUAUAAAAGACGAGAAGACCCUAAGAAUUUUAAAAAUUUCAAAAAAUCUUUUUUGCUGGGGCGGCAAAGGAUCAAGAAAACAUCCACACUAUCGGUUAUAUCCGUAUUUUAUAAAUUACCUUAGGGAUAACAGCGCAAUUGCGACCUCGAUGUUGGACUAGGGCACUUUUAGGUUAGAGACCCCAAAGUCGGUU
This 333-nucleotide ribosomal RNA is filed under the name Latipes erinaceus. RNAcentral's name for it is "partial 16S ribosomal RNA". It matches the Rfam family "Archaeal large subunit ribosomal RNA", at positions 2005 to 2646 of the family's 2987-position model. The record is from RNAcentral. Lineage: Eukaryota; Metazoa; Mollusca; Gastropoda; Systellommatophora; Veronicellidae.